CAGUAGCCGCGGGAAUACGUAGGUGGCGAGCGUUGUCCGGAAUUAUUGGGCGUAAAGGGAGCGCAGGCGGACAUAUAAGUCCAUCUUAAAAGUGCGGGGCUCAACCCCGGAGCUGCUUUGGGAACUGUAGAACUGGAGUGUCGGAGGGGUAAGCGGAAUUCCCAGUGUAGCGGUGAAAUGCGUAGAUAUUGGGAGGAACACCGGCGGCGAAGGCGGCUUACUGGACGACAACUGACGUUGAGGCUCGAAGGCGUGGGUAGCAAACAGGAUUAGAUACCCCCGUAGUCCCUGUCUCUUAUAC
This 301-nucleotide ribosomal RNA is filed under the name uncultured bacterium. RNAcentral describes it as "partial 16S ribosomal RNA". It matches the Rfam family "Bacterial small subunit ribosomal RNA", at positions 509 to 807 of the family's 1533-position model. The record is from RNAcentral.